This 1456-nucleotide long non-coding RNA is filed under the name Olea europaea subsp. europaea. Lineage: Eukaryota; Viridiplantae; Streptophyta; Magnoliopsida; Lamiales; Oleaceae. The record is from RNAcentral.
AAAGGGCAACCCACACCCGCUAAACCCAAAUGAGUUUCCCCAAUUCCCCCAAAUUGACAUUGGUACAGACGCGACUUCUACCAAAGCCAAGUCGGCCGCCGCACUCACCGUCACCACUGGCUGACGUCGACGAAAAGCAUACAUCGCAUCCUUCGCAUUUACACCAUUGGCAGCCACGAUUUGACGUCAGUUUGCCCUAAGCUCCUACUCCAAGUAGAAUCGACAGCCGCACUCACCGUCAUCGCCUGGCGCCGCACUCACCUCAGCCGCAUUCACUUCCUUCCCUGGCGCCCCACUCACCUCAGCCACACCUCCAUCCCCUGGCAGUAAUGUAAGAAUUUGUUAAAUUGUUUUUUGACAUGGAUUUUGAGAUUGGAUAAUGGUUUUUUAUAACUACCAUGUUUGAAUUUCGAAAGUUUUCUCACUAUACAAAUUUGGAUUUUGGAUGUCGAUUUAUCUUUGUUUCCUGCACCGGCUGUUGAGAUUGAAUACAAGGUUGUAUAAUGGGAAAAUCAAAAUUCAAACAUGGUUUUGAAUAGAAGAUUGUAUAAUGAGAAAAUUCAAACAUGGUUGUAUAAUGGGAAAAUCAAGAUGGAAUUUCCUGCACUGGCUGUUGAGAUUGAAUACAAGAUUGUAUAAUGGGAAAAUCAAACAUGGUUUUGACAGGGCUAUUGCUUAGAAGAUUGAAGCCAUUUCAGCGUAACAUGUUAGGAGGACGGGUAGACCAAAGUUAGCAUGGCCUUUUUGUAGUUGCAAAUGAUCUAGUUUCUCAUAUCUCCCAAUAGAUAUUGCAAUGAAUCAACAUAAUGCUGGAAAAGGAUUUAGUAGAAUAGUUACUCUUGCACGCACAGUAAGCUAGUAAAUUUAUAUAUGCAUUGUUUAUGUAUGUAUAAUCAAUUAUUUAACUACAUCUUCGAGUCCAUCUCUUUGAUGAGUUUGUUUCAUUUGCAGUAAUCAGCUAAAAUGAGAGGAGGAAAUUGUGAACAAUCAGGCGCCCGACAAGGAAGAUGAAGAAUUGCCAAGACUCUUUGAUGGGCUAGCUAGAAUUAGCGAGAAACGAGAUGUCGACAUAUCACUGCAAAUGAUUUUUCGCAAGGGAAAAGGAAUUGUCAACUGUGACGAGAAAGGAAAGAGAUCAGAUUGAGGGGGUGAUUUGAGUCAUGUUGUCAGUUGUAGCACUAGGAUGAUGUGAAUUUCAAUUUGUAUAACGAUAUAUUGGUUUUAUGUAUGUCUAAUCUGCAUUUCAGUGCGGUUUCUAAGAAAAAAAUGAACUUGUGAAUCACAUUCACUAGUAGGAGUAAUCUUUGGUCACAUUUGUUUCACAUUUAAAUCCUAGCAUAAAGCCCUUAUGUUUAUUAAGCAACUAGCUGUUGUACUGUAUUCAACUGUUUUAUUUAUGACUAUGCAAAGAUGAAUAACAUAUUGUAGCACAGAAAUUCUUUGGUGUUGAAUCACG